ACUUAAAUAGUUUAACUGAAAAUAUUGAUUUGUGGUGUCAAUGAUGUAUAAUUGUACUUUAGGUU
RNAcentral lists this transfer RNA (65 nucleotides) under Pycnoscelus femapterus. RNAcentral's name for it is "tRNA-His". The record is from RNAcentral. Lineage: Eukaryota; Metazoa; Arthropoda; Insecta; Blattodea; Blaberidae.